UACGUAGGGUGCAAGCGUUGUCCGGAAUUAUUGGGCGUAAAGAGCUCGUAGGCGGCUUGUCACGUCGACUGUGAAAACCCGGGGCUCAACUCCGGGCCUGCAGUCGAUACGGGCUGGCUUGAGUGCGGUAGGGGAGACUGGAAUUCCUGGUGUAGCGGUGAAAUGCGCAGAUAUCAGGAGGAACACCGGUGGCGAAGGCAGGUCUCUGGGCAUUAACUGACGCUGAGGAGCGAAAGCAUGGGGAGCGAACAGG
Molecule: ribosomal RNA, 253 nt
Filed under: uncultured bacterium
Lineage: Bacteria
Description: partial 16S ribosomal RNA
Rfam family: Bacterial small subunit ribosomal RNA
Source: RNAcentral